AUUGAACGCUGGCGGCAGGCCUAACACAUGCAAGUCGAACGAGUGGCGGACGGGUGAGUAAUGUCUGGGAAACUGCCCGAUGGAGGGGGAUAACUACUGGAAAAGGUAGCUAAUACCGCAUACCAUCGGAUGUGCCCAGGUGGGAUUAGCUAGUCGGUGGGGUAACGGCUAACCUAGGCGCCGAUCCCUAGCCGGUCUGAGAGGCGGACCAGCCACACUGGGACUGAGAAACGGUCCAGACUCCUACGGGAGGCAGCAGUGGGGAAUAUUGCACAAUGGGCGCAAGCCUGAUGCAGCAAUGCCGCGUGUAUGAAGAAGGCCUUCGGGUUGUAAAGUACUUUCAGCGGGGAGGCGUUACCCGCAGAAGAAGCACCGGCUAACUCCGUGCCAGCCGCUGCGGUAAUAC
Molecule: ribosomal RNA, 406 nt
Filed under: uncultured bacterium
Lineage: Bacteria
Description: partial 16S ribosomal RNA
Rfam family: Bacterial small subunit ribosomal RNA
Source: RNAcentral